UACGUAGGGGGCAAGCGUUGUCCGGAUUUAUUGGGCGUAAAGAGCUUGUAGGCGGUUUGGUAGGUCCGCUGUGAAAACUCGAGGCUCAACCUCGAGACGCCGGUGGAAACCAUCAGACUAGAGUCCGGAAGAGGAGAGUGGAAUUCCUGGUGUAGCGGUGAAAUGCGCAGAUAUCAGGAAGAACACCCGUGGCUAAGGCGGCUCUCUAGUACGGUACUGACGCUGAGACGCGAAAGCGUGGGGAGCGAACAGG
This 253-nucleotide ribosomal RNA is filed under the name uncultured bacterium. RNAcentral describes it as "partial 16S ribosomal RNA". It matches the Rfam family "Bacterial small subunit ribosomal RNA", at positions 524 to 776 of the family's 1533-position model. The record is from RNAcentral.